GGAGGUGAUGGGUCCACCUGUGAGUGGAGUACAGAACGUGGGGGAACAGCUUCCCAGGAGUGUGGGGCUCAACCUCUCCAGGAGGCCCUGAAGGUGGCCUGAGAGCCCACUCUGGAAGUUCUGCCUCUCGGAGGGGCAGCGUGGAGCACAGUGGCUGCAGUGAGUCCCGCCUGGCUCUAAGCACCACUUUCCAAGCAUGCAGCUUCAGCAGUUUCUUGGCACGCUGGCUGAAGAUGUGUUGCCCACACGCUGAGGGAGGUCCUUACCCGUGGACGCCGAGCUCUGGGAGGCUGCGGUGGCGGCAGCUGAGUCUGCAGGUGGAGAGGUGCAGGGACUGUCUUGCCUCCACCUCCUUCAAUACCUACUUUUCUUCCCAGCAAGAGUCCCUUCCCUUACGCUCCCGAAUCCACCCUGGCCCUGACGCUGCGCCUGAGCACCACAUCCUGACCCCACUUGUUGGCAAGAUGUCUGCAUGUCCACAAGUGUAGCGUUCAUCUCAUCUCAACAAUCCAUCCUUCCAGAGCAGACGGGUGAUCCCUAUCACCUUCUGAACACUCUGCUUGCUACAGCUCCUAUUCAUCAUCUCGGUCACACCUGGGGUCCCUCUACCUGUUCCACACCUAGACCAGUGGUUUUCACCCCGGCCACACAUCAAUAUCACUUAGGAAGUCUAAAAAAAAAAAAAAAACUAUGCCAAUGCAAGCCAGUGACAGAACAAAAUUAAUUACCGGAUUUUAAAAUAGGCAAAGAACCUGAAGAUACAUUUGUAGCGAGAAGGUCUAAUAAGGAGAUGAAAAGUGCUCUGUAUCACUAGUCAUGAGAAAUGCAAAUUAAAACCACAAUGAGGCCAGGCGUGGCAGCUCACAGCUGUAAUCCCAGCACUUUGGGAGGUCAACGUAGGAGGAUCACCUGAGUUCAAGACCAGCCUGAGCAACCUAAUGAGACCCUCCCUCUUCAUAAAAAGUUGUCUUUUUUUUUUUUUUAAUUAGCCAGGCAUGGUGGUGCACGCCUGUGAUCCCAGCUACUGGGUAGACUGAGGUGGGAGGAUCGCUUGAGCCCAGGAGGUUGAAGCUGCAGUGAGCUAUGAUCGUGCCACUGCACUCCAGCCUGGGUAACAGAGCGAGAUGCUGUCUCUAAAAGACAACAGCAACAAAACCCCACAAUGAGAUACUACUUAAACGGAGCAGGAUGGCUGCUACCAAAACACUAGACAGCGCCAAGUGCCGGGAAGGACGUGGGGAACCGGAACCCCAGUUACCCGGUGAGGGCGUGGGGAGCCGGAACCCCAGUUACCCGGUGAGGGCGUGGGGAGCCGGAACCCCAGUUACCCGGUGAGGGCGUGGGGAGCCAGAACCCCAGUUACCCGGUGAGGGCGUGGGGAACUGGAACUCUGCGCACUGCCGGUGCAAGUGUGAAACGACGCAGCUGCUAUGGAGACAGCACGGAGGUUCCUCAGAGAAUUAAACAUAGGUAUGACCCAGCACAGGAUCCAGCAGUCCCGCCUCUGGGUGCGCAUCCAAAAGAAAUGAACUCAGUAUGUGGAAAAGACAUCAGCACACGAUCAGCGCUGCACCAUUCACGAUCACCGCCGCCAGCAUUCACAACGGCCUACGGCGGACGCCCAAGAGUCCAUCCACAGGUGAAUGGACAAUAAAAACGUGGGGUAUACACACAACAGAACGUGAUUCCGCCACAAAAAGACAGACACGGGAUGAGUCCACUGAAAUGACGUAUCUAAAGUGGUCAAAAUCACAGACAGAGAAAGCAGAAUGGUGGUCACCAGAGCCUGGGGGAGGGGAGGUGGGGACACCUAGUUUAAUGGCCCAGAGGCUGAGUUUUGCAAGACGAAGAAUUUCUGGAGUUCCGCUGCACGACCAUGUGGAUGUGCUCAAUACUGCUGAACUGUACACUUAACAUGGCUAUGAUGGUCAGUUCCAUGCAUGCUUUUUUUACAAUUCAAAACUUUAGAAAAUUAUUUAAAACACAACAAUACCAAGCCUGGGUCCUGCCUCUCAGAGCUCCUAACCUUUUUGUUUUAUGCUUCUCGAUGAUCCUUUUGUUUUUUUGGCCUUCCUCACUCAUUCUCAUAUGAUUCUAAUAUAUAGCUGUGAGUAGGAACACCUACAAAUUAUAAACUAAAAUUUGAAACUGUCUCUGAUUAGGGGAUGUAUAUUUACUGUGCAUCCUUUUAUUCUCUUCAUACUAGGGUAUACAGUAAGCGCUUAGUAAUCACUAAACAUUCACAUUAUUACCAACUGAAUAAAAGAAUGAAUGAUUA
This 2278-nucleotide non-coding RNA is filed under the name Pongo abelii (Sumatran orangutan). Lineage: Eukaryota; Metazoa; Chordata; Mammalia; Primates; Hominidae. The record is from RNAcentral.